GGUUAAGCGACUAAGCGUACACGGUGGAUGCCCUGGCAGUCAGAGGCGAUGAAGGGCGUGCUAAUCUGCGAUAAGCGCCGGUAAGGUGAUAUGAACCGUUAUAACCGGCGAUACCCGAAUGGGGAAACCCAGUGUGAUUCGUCACACUAUCAUUAACUGAAUCCAUAGGUUAAUGAGGCGAACCGGGGGAACUGAAACAUCUAAGUACCCCGAGGAAAAGAAAUCAACCGAGAUUCCCCCAGUAGCGGCGAGCGAACGGGGAGGAGCCCAGAGCCUGAAUCAGCAUGUGUGUUAGUGGAAGCGUCUGGAAAGGCGCGCGAUACAGGGUGACAGCCCCGUACACAAAAGCGCAUGUGCUGUGAGCUCGAUGAGUAGGGCGGGACACGUGGUAUCCUGUCUGAAUAUGGGGGGACCAUCCUCCAAGGCUAAAUACUCCUGACUGACCGAUAGUGAACCAGUACCGUGAGGGAAAGGCGAAAAGAACCCCGGCGAGGGGAGUGAAAAAGAACCUGAAACCGUGUACGUACAAGCAGUGGGAGCACCCUUUGGGGUGUGACUGCGUACCUUUUGUAUAAUGGGUCAGCGACUUAUAUUCUGUAGCAAGGUUAACCGAAUAGGGGAGCCGGAGGGAAACCGAGUCUUAAUUGGGCGUUAAGUUGCAGGGUAUAGACCCGAAACCCGGUGAUCUAGCCAUGGGCAGGUUGAAGGUUGGGUAACACUAACUGGAGGACCGAACCGACUAAUGUUGAAAAAUUAGCGGAUGACCUGUGGCUGGGGGUGAAAGGCCAAUCAAACCGGGAGAUAGCUGGUUCUCCCCGAAAGCUAUUUAGGUAGCGCCUCGUGAAUUCAUCUCCGGGGGUAGAGCACUGUUUCGGCUAGGGGGCCAUCCCGGCUUACCAACCCGAUGCAAACUGCGAAUACCGGAGAAUGUUAUCACGGGAGACACACGGCGGGUGCUAACGUCCGUCGUGAAGAGGGAAACAACCCAGACCGCCAGCUAAGGUCCCAAAGUCAUGGUUAAGUGGGAAACGAUGUGGGAAGGCCCAGACAGCCAGGAUGUUGGCUUAGAAGCAGCCAUCAUUUAAAGAAAGCGUAAUAGCUCACUGGUCGAGUCGGCCUGCGCGGAAGAUGUAACGGGGCUAAACCAUGCACCGAAGCUGCGGCAGCGAACGUAUCACCCAAGACAACUUUACGGAGUUGACGAUUGACGGAGCGAAGCGACGUCAAAGCGUUCAUUAAAGUCGAGUUGGCUUAGGGAUACGUUCGUUGGGUAGGGGAGCGUUCUGUAAGCCUGUGAAGGUGUGUCGUGAGGCAUGCUGGAGGUAUCAGAAGUGCGAAUGCUGACAUAAGUAACGAUAAAGCGGGUGAAAAGCCCGCUCGCCGGAAGACCAAGGGUUCCUGUCCAACGUUAAUCGGGGCAGGGUGAGUCGACCCCUAAGGCGAGGCCGAAAGGCGUAGUCGAUGGGAAACGGGUUAAUAUUCCCGUACUUGGUGUUACUGCGAAGGGGGGACGGAGAAGGCUAUGUUGGCCGGGCGACGGUUGUCCCGGUUUAAGCGUGUAGGUGUGUGUUCCAGGUAAAUCCGGUUCACUUUAACACUGAGGCGUGACGACGAGGCACUACGGUGCUGAAGCAACAAAUGCCCUGCUUCCAGGAAAAGCCUCUAAGCAUCAGGUAACAUCAAAUCGUACCCCAAACCGACACAGGUGGUCAGGUAGAGAAUACCAAGGCGCUUGAGAGAACUCGGGUGAAGGAACUAGGCAAAAUGGUGCCGUAACUUCGGGAGAAGGCACGCUGACACGUAGGUGAAGUGAUUUACUCAUGGAGCUGAAGUCAGUCGAAGAUACCAGCUGGCUGCAACUGUUUAUUAAAAACACAGCACUGUGCAAACACGAAAGUGGACGUAUACGGUGUGACGCCUGCCCGGUGCCGGAAGGUUAAUUGAUGGGGUCAGCGCAAGCGAAGCUCCUGAUCGAAGCCCCGGUAAACGGCGGCCGUAACUAUAACGGUCCUAAGGUAGCGAAAUUCCUUGUCGGGUAAGUUCCGACCUGCACGAAUGGCGUAAUGAUGGCCAGGCUGUCUCCACCCGAGACUCAGUGAAAUUGAACUCGCUGUGAAGAUGCAGUGUACCCGCGGCAAGACGGAAAGACCCCGUGAACCUUUACUAUAGCUUGACACUGAACAUUGAGCCUUGAUGUGUAGGAUAGGUGGGAGGCUUUGAAGUGUGGACGCCAGUCUGCAUGGAGCCGACCUUGAAAUACCACCCUUUAAUGUUUGAUGUUCUAACGUGGACCCGUGAUCCGGGUUGCGGACAGUGUCUGGUGGGUAGUUUGACUGGGGCGGUCUCCUCCUAAAGAGUAACGGAGGAGCACGAAGGUUGGCUAAUCCUGGUCGGACAUCAGGAGGUUAGUGCAAUGGCAUAAGCCAGCUUGACUGCGAGCGUGACGGCGCGAGCAGGUGCGAAAGCAGGUCAUAGUGAUCCGGUGGUUCUGAAUGGAAGGGCCAUCGCUCAACGGAUAAAAGGUACUCCGGGGAUAACAGGCUGAUACCGCCCAAGAGUUCAUAUCGACGGCGGUGUUUGGCACCUCGAUGUCGGCUCAUCACAUCCUGGGGCUGAAGUAGGUCCCAAGGGUAUGGCUGUUCGCCAUUUAAAGUGGUACGCGAGCUGGGUUUAGAACGUCGUGAGACAGUUCGGUCCCUAUCUGCCGUGGGCGCUGGAGAACUGAGGGGGGCUGCUCCUAGUACGAGAGGACCGGAGUGGACGCAUCACUGGUGUUCGGGUUGUCAUGCCAAUGGCACUGCCCGGUAGCUAAAUGCGGAAGAGAUAAGUGCUGAAAGCAUCUAAGCACGAAACUUGCCCCGAGAUGAGUUCUCCCUGAGACUUAGAGUCUCCUGAAGGAACGUUGAAGACGACGACGUUGAUAGGCCGGGUGUGUAAGCGCAGCGAUGCGUUGAGCUAACCGGUACUAAUGAACCGUGAGGCUUAACCUU
This 2990-nucleotide ribosomal RNA is filed under the name Salmonella enterica subsp. enterica serovar Typhimurium. RNAcentral's name for it is "23S ribosomal RNA". It matches the Rfam family "Bacterial large subunit ribosomal RNA". Lineage: Bacteria; Pseudomonadati; Pseudomonadota; Gammaproteobacteria; Enterobacterales; Enterobacteriaceae. The record is from RNAcentral.